CCCUUAGAUGUUCUGGGCCGCACGCGUGCUACACUGAGUGGAUCAGCGGGUCAGGUUGCGCGAAAGUGUUUCCUAAUCUUUAAAUCCGCUCGUGAUGGGGAUUGACGGUUGCAAUUUUCCGUCAUGAACGAGGAAUACCUUGUAAGCGCGGGUCAUCAUCCCGCGCUGAAUACGUCCCUGCCCUUUGUACACACCGCCCGUCGCUCCUACCGAUUGAGUGGUCCGGUGAGGCUUUGGGAUCUGAGCGGAAAGAGCGUUUCGCUGUUUCUGCCCGGAAAACUCAGUCGAACCUUAUCAUUUAGAGGACGGAGAAGUCGUAACA
This 322-nucleotide ribosomal RNA is filed under the name uncultured eukaryote. RNAcentral's name for it is "partial 18S ribosomal RNA". It matches the Rfam family "Eukaryotic small subunit ribosomal RNA", at positions 1470 to 1796 of the family's 1831-position model. The record is from RNAcentral.